UACGAAGGGUUCAAGCGUUAAUCGGAAUUACUGGGCGUAAAGGGCGCGUAGGCGGCUGUUUAAGUCUGUCGUGAAAUCCCCGGGCUCAACCUGGGAAUGGCGAUGGAUACUGGACAGCUAGAGUGUGUCAGAGGAUGGUGGAAUUCCCGGUGUAGCGGUGAAAUGCGUAGAGAUCGGGAGGAACAUCAGUGGCGAAGGCGGCCAUCUGGGACAACACUGACGCUGAAGCACGAAAGCGUGGGGAGCAAACAGG
This 253-nucleotide ribosomal RNA is filed under the name uncultured bacterium. Its description in RNAcentral is "partial 16S ribosomal RNA". It matches the Rfam family "Bacterial small subunit ribosomal RNA", at positions 524 to 776 of the family's 1533-position model. The record is from RNAcentral.